GAUGAACGCUGGCGGCGUGCCUAAUACAUGCAAGUCGAGCGAACAGACGAGGAGCUUGCUCCUCUGACGUUAGCGGCGGACGGGUGAGUAACACGUGGAUAACCUACCUAUAAGACUGGGAUAACUUCGGGAAACCGGAGCUAAUACCGGAUAAUAUAUUGAACCGCAUGGUUCAAUAGUGAAAGACGGUUUUGCUGUCACUUAUAGAUGGAUCCGCGCCGCAUUAGCUAGUUGGUAAGGUAACGGCUUACCAAGGCAACGAUGCGUAGCCGACCUGAGAGGGUGAUCGGCCACACUGGAACUGAGACACGGUCCACACUCCUACGGGAGGCAGCAGUAGGGAAUCUUCCGCAAUGGGCGAAAGCCUGACGGAGCAACGCCGCGUGAGUGAUGAAGGUCUUCGGAUCGUAAAACUCUGUUAUUAGGGAAGAACAAAUGUGUAAGUAACUAUGCACGUCUUGACGGUACCUAAUCAGAAAGCCACGGCUAACUACGUG
This 497-nucleotide ribosomal RNA is filed under the name uncultured bacterium. RNAcentral describes it as "partial 16S ribosomal RNA". It matches the Rfam family "Bacterial small subunit ribosomal RNA", at positions 28 to 507 of the family's 1533-position model. The record is from RNAcentral.